GCCCGGCUGGCACAAUUGGUUAGCGCGUGGGCCUUUUAAGACAUUCAAACGUCCAAAGAGCAGCCCAAGGUUGAGAGUUCGAGCCUCUCGUCGGGCG
This 97-nucleotide transfer RNA is filed under the name Phialocephala subalpina. It matches the Rfam family "tRNA". From Rfam's summary of the family: Transfer RNA (tRNA) molecules are approximately 80 nucleotides in length. Lineage: Eukaryota; Fungi; Ascomycota; Leotiomycetes; Helotiales; Mollisiaceae. The record is from Rfam by way of RNAcentral.